CAGUGCCACAGUGAGAAAAAUCAUUUGUGAGCAAGUGUAGUUUCACUAAGGUCUUUACUGUGGCAGGUAUGGAGAGUGAACACCAAGUAUAACAUCCUCUACAUCAACGGAUCUGUCCCGGGUCACCGCAACUGUCUUGUUAAGGUCAGGGACUCAAUUCUGCCCACUCGUUUGGAGAACAACAAGAACCCUCCAUUCCCCACAUUCUUUGCUGAUGGAGACAAAGAUCUCCCUGAAGACCUUUUCGAUGAGGACAUGUUCCAGUUUGGGCAGCCCAUGCCUGAAUGAGGUUGUGAGCCCACAAUUCUUGCUUAUGCUGGUAAAAGACACUGGGCAUUACGUGACCCUUGAUCGAUGCCUUUCAUCUAGUGGAUUCAGCACUGCUGGGCUGAAAGACUUUUAAAGAAGUGUCAAGUAAACGCAUAAAUACAGGUAUUCAGGUUCAGGUACAGAGUAAACUCAUACUUCUGUAUAACAACUGGAUCAUGUUUAGGUGUCAAACGCAGUUGUGUAUUUAAACAAUAAAACCUGUUUGAUAUAAUUA
This is a long non-coding RNA of Sinocyclocheilus grahami, 544 nucleotides long. RefSeq lists it as uncharacterized. The record is from RefSeq and is a predicted model, not a curated record. NCBI's taxonomy places the organism in Eukaryota, Metazoa, Chordata, Actinopteri, Cypriniformes, Cyprinidae. The transcript has 2 exons.